This is a microRNA precursor of Carassius auratus (goldfish), 59 nucleotides long. Ensembl annotates it as microRNA 107. Its record names the gene dre-mir-107. Lineage: Eukaryota; Metazoa; Chordata; Actinopteri; Cypriniformes; Cyprinidae. The record is from Ensembl.
AGCUUCUUUACAGUGUUGUCUUGUGGCAUGGAGAUCAAGCAGCAUUGUACAGGGCUAUC